This 1677-nucleotide ribosomal RNA is filed under the name Triticum aestivum (bread wheat). Its description in RNAcentral is "partial small subunit ribosomal RNA". The record is from RNAcentral. Lineage: Eukaryota; Viridiplantae; Streptophyta; Magnoliopsida; Poales; Poaceae.
AUGGCCGCCGGCGAGCAGCACAGCGCCCCGAAGAUCUCCUCUUCCACCACCACCAAUUCUUCCGGGAGGCCCGUCACUCCGUUCUGGAAAGAGAAGUACGAGCGAGAUGCGCGCAGGUACUGGGAUAUCUUCUACAAGCGCCACGAGGACAAGUUCUUCAAAGACCGACACUACUUGGAUAAAGAAUGGGGGAAGUACUUUGAAGCCCAAGAUGGUGGGAAUAUGGUUGUUUUGGAGGUUGGCUGUGGAGCUGGAAAUACAAUAUUUCCACUGCUGGCUACAUAUCCGGAUAUAUUUGUUCAUGCUUGUGAUUUUUCUUCGCGAGCUGUCGAUUUGGUUAAGAAACACAAGGACUUCAGACCUGACCAUGUUAAUGCAUUUGCAUGUGAUAUUACAUCAGAACAACUGACAGAUGCUGUGGAGCCAUCCUCCGUUGACCUUGUGACAAUGAUAUUUAUGCUAUCUGCAGUUGCCCCAGAUAAAAUGCCUUCAGUUCUGCAGAACGUGAAAAAUAUCCUCAAACACGGUGGCCGUGUGCUCUUUCGGGACUAUGCCUUUGGUGACCUUGCUCAGGAAAGGCUUAUGUCCAAAGGCCAGCAAAUAAGUGAGAACUUUUAUGUCAGAGGUGAUGGCACGCGUGCGUACUACUUUUCAAACGAGUACCUGGUGGAUUUGUUCUCAAAAUGUGGAUUUACUCUUGAGGAAAUUUGUGUACACAACAAAAAGGUCGAGAACCGUUCACUAGACUUGGUGAUGAACAGGAAUUGGAUCCAAGCUACCUUUAUCCUUAACCCAGCGGGUCCUCUAAGUCCAAAUAAUCAACAUGACCACAGUACUUGUGAAGGGAAGGAUGCUGUUGACACGUCUCAGAAGAGCGAAAGUGAAGAAAUUGACCUUUCUGUGGAUUUUAGCAAUAUGUUUGGAACGUCGCACUAUCUUAAUGAGGCACAAAUUAUUAUGAUUGAAGCAAAGGAUCAUGACUUCAAAAUAAAAAUGCUGGCGAAAGAAUACCAGCACACCUGCAAAUCAACUGGACUAAUGCUCUGGGAAUCAGCUCAGUUCAUGUGCAGUCUUCUAGCGGAGAAUCCUUCCAUAGUCGCUGGCAAAAGGGUGCUGGAAAUGGGCUGUGGUUCAGCUGGCAUCUGCUCAAUGGUUGCUGCCAGUUCUGCUCAGUUUGUUGUAGCCACCGACGGGGAUGCAGAAUCGCUCGAUCUUCUCAGACAGAACACUUCCUCCAAUUUGGAUGCUGAACUUCUCAACAGAAUUUCGAUUAGGAAGCUGUUCUGGGGUGACGAAGAUGAUGUGAAGGCGGUCAGAGAGCUUUCUGGCGAUGGUGCAGGUUUCGAUUGCAUAAUAGGCACUGACGUGACCUACAACCCUGAUGCUACACUUCCUCUCUUCAAGACUGCUAGGGCACUGAUUUCUGACGGUGGCGAUGCUGGUUCAAAGGCAGCCCUUAUUCUUUGCUACAUCCAGCGUCGUGUUGACGAGGAUUCGAUCCUCUUAGCAGCAGAAACCCAGGGCUUCAGGCUCGUGGACAAAUGGAUAAAUGGAGUUCACGAGAGUAAUGGUACCAUUAGCUGUUGGUUCCGUGGCAAUGAUGUUUGUGGUGCUUUCCGGAAUGUAACGUUUUCCAUAUUGUACUUUGAGGUGAUACACACAUUGGUGUUUACCUGA